Molecule: RNA transcript, 2019 nt
Organism: Entelurus aequoreus (snake pipefish)
Lineage: Eukaryota; Metazoa; Chordata; Actinopteri; Syngnathiformes; Syngnathidae
Exons: 4
Source: RefSeq, a predicted model, not a curated record
AUCCAGGACGUCACGUGACUAGUUUGUUGACACCGCCAUGUUGACAAAAAUGGCAGCGACUGAAAUGAAUGAGACCGGCGUCAGCUUCAAGCCCCAUGAACUUUCCGCUCAUAUUAACCACAUGGAUAUUGAAGGAUACGACACAAAACUUACUCGGUUAAACAUAACCGACCCUUAUAAUGCGCCCAGCGAGUUUUUUACGUCUAUCAAGUCAGCCACAGCGAAGGACAAAGUCCCAGACCUACAGUAUCCGGACAUAUACAACUACCUCAUUAACUUUCUCUCGUCCUACUCAGGAGAAUCUUUGAAAGACUACAAAUGUCUAGAGGGGUACAAAUGGACAACGUCUGGAUUCGUUACGAACCUUCAACUUUGGUGCCUACCAGCUAAAAACAGCGUCGUCAUCACCGGAAGCGUGCGUCAUAAUUCCCAAAAGAUGGCUGACCCCGCAUUGAAGCCCUGGGUGUUAGUGAGGAAUGAUGGAGUUGUGUUAGGAGCCCACUGCCAUUGCACCACAGGACGUGGGGAGAGCUGCUCCCACGUAUCAGCUGUGUUGUUCAGUGUGUGGCAGCACAACAAUGGACGGCAGGAAGACUCUCAAAAGUGCAAGCGGUGCAAACCAAGUCCGGAGUCUUUGCAAAAAAUGGUAGCUAAGCAAGGCAAGGACUUAAAUUUUACUCACUCAAAAGUUGACUCGUCCAUUCGUCUAGCUGUCCCACCUCUGACCCCGGAUGAGCAAACCCAGCUUUAUAGCAGACUCAGCAAAUGCUGCAGACAGGAUGGAGGUGCCGUCAAGCCAGCGGUUCUCUCCGUCGUCCGAGACUACGCCUCAGCCUACGUCCCGAAAACCGUCAUGCUCAAUCCACCCGAACUCCUCACAGAUCCCAGCGAUAACCAGGCGGGGGAUCUCAUCCUGGAAGAGUUACCCUCGCUGAGGCGUUUUCACUCAUCAGGCCAUGAAGGCAUACAAAUCACUGGAAGCUCAUCGUUACUUCGCAGCUGGAUUUGUUCAAACUGUAAGGCACCUCAAAACCUGUUCAUCAGUGACCAUCCUGCAAGCCAGUGUUAGACCAUCGCAGCGGAUGAAUGACCCUAACCACCAGCCGUGGGUGGGGAUUCAUGACGGAGGGGAGGUUUUGGCUGCCCAAUGUACUUGCAUGGCAGGUUUGGGUGAAUCCUGUUCCCAUGUGGCUGCAUUGCUCUUUAAAAUUGAGGCUGUUGUUCACCUGGGAUACACAAGCCUUGCCUGUACCAGCCGUCCAUGUGAAUGGAACAACUUUUUUACUGAGACUGUGCAGACUGCCCCCAUCAAGGAUAUUAACAUUUAUAGAGGUGAAGCAGUAACAAAAGUAAUUGGAACAGGACGCAAGAGGCGACCCACCUCUGAGCUGUCUGCCCCCACAAAUGAAGAAAAGACAGCCUUCCUCCAUUCUCUAUGCAUGUCAGUUGAACAUUCACCAGUUGCCCUCUCUCUAUUUAGGGAGACCUCCAUUAACUUCAAGGCUAAGAGAGUGAUUACCCCAAGAAUUUCUUUGCCACGCCCCCUACGUUCAUACUACAGACCAAAUAAAACUUUAACUAUAUCAGAGUUGAAAGCCAAAUGUGAUGAGCUUGUGACCAAUACUAUUGUCAGUGCUGCUGAGGUAGACUACACUGAGCAGCAGACACGUGCCCAAUCUCACAGUGUUGUGUGGCAUGAACAGCGUGCAGGCCACAUAACCGCCUCAUCUGCAAAUUCUGUGCUGCACACAAAGGCAGAUUUACCUGCUGCAUCAGUGGUUAAGGGGUUCACUACUGCCGAUUCACGCUUUGAAGUUGUCAGUUGAUGUCGCUCGUAAAUGUCCAUCCUAUGGGAUGCCUUCUCUCCACUCUGUGGCAGUUGAGGUAAGAUGGAUGGUGCAUAAUCAGUGUGCAUGGGAUUCUUUACAGGUCGUCCUGGGAGGGAAAAAAUAUUGAGAGAUUUGAGGGCUACAUGUAUUGUUUAAGUACAACAAAGGAGAGUUUAAACAGAGAAGGGGG